RNAcentral lists this ribosomal RNA (447 nucleotides) under Triticum aestivum (bread wheat). Its description in RNAcentral is "partial small subunit ribosomal RNA". Lineage: Eukaryota; Viridiplantae; Streptophyta; Magnoliopsida; Poales; Poaceae. The record is from RNAcentral.
CUGCUGAUUUUUUUCAGUGACUUUCAUGCAAAUAAUGCCGAUCUCUCAGGCGUCAAUUCUGCAUCCAUUGUCUUGCUGCCUAAAAAAGAAAUUUCAAUGGAGAUUAAAGACUUCCGGCCUAUAUCCUUGGUGCAUAGCCUCCCCAAGCUAGCCACAAAAUUCCUAACUACCAGGCUGCAGCUGUGGAUACCUAAACUAGUGCACCCACUACAAUCUGGUUUCCUUGCUGGCAGAUGCAUUGUUGAAAAAAUUUCCCUCGCUGCAGAGCUUGUACAAUAUGCAAAAAGGAAGAAGAUACCAAUUGUACUGAAGCUAGACUUCAAGAAAGCUUUUGAUAGUGUUAGCUGGGACGCACUGUUUGCUGUUUUGGCCGCCAGGGGUUUUGGACAAAGGUGGAUCUUCUGGAUCAAGAACCUUCUCUACACAAGUUGGCAAGGGUUACUUUGA